Small nucleolar RNA from Mercurialis annua (annual mercury), 85 nucleotides. RefSeq annotates it as small nucleolar RNA snoR114. The record is from RefSeq and is a predicted model, not a curated record. The transcript has a single exon. NCBI's taxonomy places the organism in Eukaryota, Viridiplantae, Streptophyta, Magnoliopsida, Malpighiales, Euphorbiaceae.
GAGCAAUGAGGAAAAAUGCGCCCAAUGAUGGGUUGGGUCCCAUCAAUCAUCUGAUUCCAAGAUGACGAUAAGCGCACCUGAGCUC